UACGGAGGAUGCAAGCGUUAUCCGGAUUUAUUGGGUUUAAAGGGUGCGCAGGUUGUUUGAUAAGUCAGUGGUGAAAGUCUGCCGCUUAACGGUAGGAUUGCCAUUGAUACUGUUAGACUUGAAUAUGGAUGAGGUAGGCGGAAUGUGUAGUGUAGCGGUGAAAUGCAUAGAUAUUACACAGAACACCGAUUGCGAAGGCAGCUUACUAAUCCAUCAUUGACGCUGAGGCACGAAAGCGUGGGGAGUCAAAUA
RNAcentral lists this ribosomal RNA (252 nucleotides) under uncultured prokaryote. RNAcentral describes it as "partial 16S ribosomal RNA". It matches the Rfam family "Bacterial small subunit ribosomal RNA", at positions 524 to 775 of the family's 1533-position model. The record is from RNAcentral.